GUGAGGAAUAUUGCGCAAUGGAGGCAACUCUGACGCAGCCAUGCCGCGUGCAGGAAGAAGGCGCUACGCGUUGUAAACUGCUUUUAACCGGGAAGAAACCCCAGGACGUGUCCUGGGUUGACGGUACCGGAGGAAUAAGCACCGGCUAACUUCGUGCCAACAGCCGCGGUAAUACGAAGGGUGCAAGCGUUAUCCGGAUUCAUUGGGUUUAAAGGGUGCGUAGGCGGAGCGUUAAGUCAGUGGUGAAAUCCUGCAGCUUAACUGUAGACUUGCCAUUGAUACUGGCGCUCUUGAGUGCGCUUGAAGUGGGCGGAAUGUGCCGUGUAGCGGUGAAAUGCUUAGAUAUGGCACAGAACACCAAUUGCGAAGGCAGCUCACUAAGGCGAUACUGACGCUGAGGCACGAAAGCGUGGGGAUCGAACAGGAUUAGAUACCCUUGUAGUCC
Molecule: ribosomal RNA, 445 nt
Filed under: uncultured bacterium
Lineage: Bacteria
Description: partial 16S ribosomal RNA
Rfam family: Bacterial small subunit ribosomal RNA
Source: RNAcentral